UACGGAGGAUCCGAGCGUUAUCCGGAUUUAUUGGGUUUAAAGGGUGCGUAGGCGGCCUUUUAAGUCAGCGGUGAAAGUCUGUGGCUCAACCAUAGAAUUGCCGUUGAAACUGGCAGUCUUGAGUACAGUAGAGGUGGGCGGAAUGCGUGGUGUAGCGGUGAAAUGCAUAGAUAUCACGCAGAACUCCGAUUGCGAAGGCAGCAUACCGGCGCCCGACUGACGCUGAAGCACGAAAGCGUGGGUAUCGAACAGG
RNAcentral lists this ribosomal RNA (253 nucleotides) under uncultured Parabacteroides sp. RNAcentral's name for it is "partial 16S ribosomal RNA". It matches the Rfam family "Bacterial small subunit ribosomal RNA", at positions 524 to 776 of the family's 1533-position model. Lineage: Bacteria; Pseudomonadati; Bacteroidota; Bacteroidia; Bacteroidales; Tannerellaceae. The record is from RNAcentral.